Brassica oleracea var. oleracea is the source of this 1860-nucleotide long non-coding RNA. RefSeq lists it as uncharacterized. The record is from RefSeq and is a predicted model, not a curated record. The transcript has 3 exons. NCBI's taxonomy places the organism in Eukaryota, Viridiplantae, Streptophyta, Magnoliopsida, Brassicales, Brassicaceae.
UUUUUUUUAACUCUUCAAAAAUAUCUAUCUGAAAAGUCUACAUUUUCUCUCUAUCAAGAGUAAGACCUGAUUCUUUUGCGAUUCACCACUACUGUCAAACCAAUUUCUCAGAUCUCUUCAGAUAACUUCGUUGAAUCCGAUGCUCGAUCUGAGCAAGGUUCAUCUUGGUCGUACCUCUGAGAUGGGUCUGAAGAAUCUCCGAUGAAAAUCAAAUAUAUUUUUUUGUUCCUGUUAAAAAGUCAUCAAACAUAAAAUAAGUAAGGAAGAAUAAAAAUAAAAUUAGAAUAUAACUAUUUUUGAUAAUAAAAUUUAGUAAUUUAAUGGUCAAAUAGUUGAUUUUAACCGGAGGGUGGGAGAUUGAUGAUGCGCUUACAGCUAUCGAGAAGUUGCGGAAUUGCUGCGGUAGCUGCCUGAGGUUUUAGGAGAGCAGGCAUGAGGUCUCAGACUCUUGCAGAAAGGAGCACUGAAAGAAAACAUGCAUCGCGCUUUCACUUCUUCCGCAGCGCUUGCACUCCGUGUUGGCAUUAAUUCCUCUUCGUGACAGAGCUUCACCCCGUUGUUUGACAGCUUCCACGAAAAGAGACGUUGCAAUAUUCCAUACACACGAUCUCCAAUUAAAAUUGUAAGCGGGCUCUGUUCUGUGGCAUGUACUCUGUAAGUUAGCCAACGCGUAACCGGAUUUAGUAGUAUACAACCCCCGACUUUUCAGGCAACCAGACCAAAGUAUCAUUCAUCUCGAAGGAGCUAGGUUGUAAAAGAUGGAUCGCUUCCUCAUUCGAGUUUCUCUUGUAUCACUGUUUUAUAAAUGUUUAACCUGGAUGGAGAACUUCAAAGCCUAUUCAAUUAGACCAUGAUUAUCCGGGUUUCUAAAGACAGUUUUUAAAAUUAAUGAAGCAUUUAAUUAAAUCAAAAAUAAAUAAAAUACAUGUUACCGAUCUUUAAUAUAGGAUUCUAGUGACCGAUUACUAAAGGGUUUUUAACCCACAUGUCAACAAACCAUGCAUUUAUGUCUUCUCUUUAUUUCCUCCUCGUCUUCUCUUGUGUUAGACGAUGACAAAAAACUUCCGUCAGCGACGUCGAAGACUAUAAAUAGAUCCCGUAGAAAAUUCGCUGCUGUUCAAAGAAGACUCGUUUAGUUGUUACUGUUUGUGCCUCUCUUUUUCUGGGUACACACGCUUAAAUUUUCUCGAGGAGGAUUCCUGGGAAAGUUCUGAAAAUAGUUUCCAGAUCGUAAACGAAUCAGUUUCAAUCGAUUCAUCGCUUCACGGAUUCUGAUUCCGAGCUUCUUUUCUGAAUGAAGGCGUAGGUGGUUUUGGGAUUUGUGUAGCUUCAAUAUGAAUUCGGUUGGCAAGAUGUGAUUUACAAAGAUCUUCGUUUCUGAGUUCCUGAAUCCGUGCAGGAACCUGGGUCUGUUUUAAACUACACGGAAGAAGAUAAAAAGGUUGACUUUCUGGUGUUUCAGCCUUUUUAUUCCUGUUGAGCUCUAGGGAUUUCUCCAGCUCUUGAGGAUUUUAGCAUAGAAGUUUGUACAGUUGGUAUGUCAAUUGCUAGUGUAGCUCUUAGUCCAGCCCUGGAAGAAGUUGUCAACUCGUCAAGACUUUUGGAGGGAAGGAGUUUGAGCUCUUUGUUGAGAGGAGUAGAAACGUUAGUUACGUAAAGCAGAAAAUAGCUUUAUUCAAUUCUGAAGGAGAGAUUUCUAGCGAGGAUGUAAGAACAAAUAUUCAUUCCCAAACUCAAGCUUUGUGUCUCUAAAAGUAUUGCUACGUACUGAUAAUGAUAUCAUACUAUGUGAUGGGUUUUGUGACCGAGGCUUUCACCAAUACUGUUGUUUUCUUGUGUCAUGUCUUUAAAAGACUAUCU